GAUGAACGCUGGCGGCGUGCCUAAUACAUGCAAGUCGAGCGAACGGACGAGAAGCUUGCUUCUCUGAUGUUAGCGGCGGACGGGUGAGUAACACGUGGAUAACCUACCUAUAAGACUGGGAUAACUUCGGGAAACCGUAGCUAAUACCGGAUAAUAUUUUGAACCGCAUGGUUCAAAAGUGAAAGACGGUCUUGCUGUCACUUAUAGAUGGAUCCGCGCUGCAUUAGCUAGUUGGUAAGGUAACGGCUUACCAAGGCAAUGAUGCAUAGCCGACCUGAGAGGGUGAUCGGCCACACUGGAACUGAGACACGGUCCAGACCCCUACGGGAGGCAGCAGUAGGGAAUCUUCCGCAAUGGGCGAAAGCCUGACGGAGCAACGCCGCGUGAGUGAUGAAGGUCUUCGGAUCGUAAAACUCUGUUAUUAGGGAAGAACAUAUGUGUAAGUAACUGUGCACAUCUUGACGGUACCUAAUCAGAAAGCCACGGCUAACUACGUG
Molecule: ribosomal RNA, 497 nt
Filed under: uncultured bacterium
Lineage: Bacteria
Description: partial 16S ribosomal RNA
Rfam family: Bacterial small subunit ribosomal RNA
Source: RNAcentral